This 620-nucleotide ribosomal RNA is filed under the name Phelotrupes formosanus. RNAcentral describes it as "eukaryotic LSU rRNA". It matches the Rfam family "Eukaryotic large subunit ribosomal RNA", at positions 665 to 1244 of the family's 3401-position model. The record is from RNAcentral. Lineage: Eukaryota; Metazoa; Arthropoda; Insecta; Coleoptera; Geotrupidae.
ACCAAGGAGUCUAGCAUGUGCGCGAGUCAUUGGGACCCGCUAAGCCCAGAGGCGUAAUGAAAGUGAAGGUCCGCCUUGCGCGGACCGAGGGAGGAUGGGCCGUCCCGCGGGCCGGCCCCGCACUCCCGGGGCGUCUCGCUCUCAUCGCGAGAAGAGGCGCACCCAGAGCGUACACGCUGGGACCCGAAAGAUGGUGAACUAUGCCUGGUCAGGACGAAGUCAGGGGAAACCCUGAUGGAGGUCCGUAGCGAUUCUGACGUGCAAAUCGAUCGUCGGAACUGGGUAUAGGGGCGAAAGACCAAUCGAACCAUCUAGUAGCUGGUUCCCUCCGAAGUUUCCCUCAGGAUAGCUGGCGCUCGCCGUGUGCGAGUCUCAUCCGGUAAAGCGAAUGAUUAGAGGCAUUGGGGUCGAAACGGCCUCAACCUAUUCUCAAACUUUAAAUGGGUGAGAUCUCCGGCUUGCUUGAAACGUGAAGCCGCGAGAUUUCGGAUCAGAGUGCCAAGUGGGCCACUUUUGGUAAGCAGAACUGGCGCUGUGGGAUGAACCAAACGCAGAGUUAAAGCGCCUAAAUCGACGCUUAUGGGAUACCAUGAAAGGCGUUGGUAACUUAAGACAGCAGG